Molecule: ribosomal RNA, 340 nt
Filed under: uncultured Caryophanales bacterium
Lineage: Bacteria; Bacillati; Bacillota; Bacilli; Caryophanales
Description: bacterial SSU rRNA
Rfam family: Bacterial small subunit ribosomal RNA
Source: RNAcentral
UCGAGCGACAGACGAGGAGCUUGCUCCUCUGACGUUAGCGGCGGACGGGUGAGUAACACGUGGAUAACCUACCUAUAAGACUGGGAUAACUUCGGGAAACCGGAGCUAAUACCGGAUAAUAUAUUGAACCGCAUGGUUCAAUAGUGAAAGACGGUUUUGCUGUCACUUAUAGAUGGAUCCGCGCCGCAUUAGCUAGUUGGUAAGGUAACGGCUUACCGAGGCAACGAUGCGUAGCCGACCUGAGAGGGUGAUCGGCCACACUGGAACUGAGACACGGUCCAGACUCCUACGGGAGGCAGCAGUAGGGAAUCUUCCGCAAUGGGCGAAAGCCUGACGGAGC